UACGGAGGGUGCAAGCGUUAUCCGGAUUCACUGGGUUUAAAGGGUGCGUAGGUGGGUUUGUAAGUCAGUGGUGAAAUCUCCAGGCUUAACCUGGAAACUGCCAUUGAUACUACAGGUCUUGAAUUUUCUGGAGGUAAGCGGAAUAUGUCAUGUAGCGGUGAAAUGCUUAGAUAUGACAUAGAACACCAAUUGCGAAGGCAGCUUGCUACAGGAAUAUUGACACUGAGGCACGAAAGCGUGGGGAUCAAACGGG
Molecule: ribosomal RNA, 253 nt
Filed under: uncultured bacterium
Lineage: Bacteria
Description: partial 16S ribosomal RNA
Rfam family: Bacterial small subunit ribosomal RNA
Source: RNAcentral